GAUGAACGCUGGCGGCGUGCUUAACACAUGCAAGUCGAACGGAAAGGCCCAAGCUUGCUCGGGUACUCGAGUGGCGAACGGGUGAGUAACAAGUGGGUGAUCUGCCCUGCACUUCGGGAUAAGCCUGGGAAACUGGGUCUAAUACCGGAUAGGACGAUGGUUUGGAUGCCAUUGUGGAAAGUUUUUUCGGUGUGGGAUGAGCUCGCGGCCUAUCAGCUUGUUGGGGGGGUAAUGGCCUACCAAGGCGUCUGCGGGUAGCCGGCCUGCGUGGGGGUAGGGCCACAUUGGGACUCAGCUGGAGGCCGCAGUGCGGCAGAAGGCAGCAGGGGGGAAUAUCGGACAAAGGGAGGAAGCCUGUGGCAGGGACGCCGCGUGGGGGAUGAGGGCCUUCAGGUUGUAGGCUCCUUUCGCUGGGAACGAAGCGUUUUUGUGACGGUACCUGGAGAAGAAGCACCGGCUAACUACGUG
Molecule: ribosomal RNA, 468 nt
Filed under: uncultured bacterium
Lineage: Bacteria
Description: partial 16S ribosomal RNA
Rfam family: Bacterial small subunit ribosomal RNA
Source: RNAcentral